RNAcentral lists this ribosomal RNA (896 nucleotides) under uncultured bacterium. Its description in RNAcentral is "bacterial SSU rRNA". It matches the Rfam family "Bacterial small subunit ribosomal RNA", at positions 9 to 873 of the family's 1533-position model. The record is from RNAcentral.
AGAGUUUGAUCAUGGCUCAGAACGAACGCUGGCGGCGUGGAUAAGACAUGCAAGUCGAACGCUGACAUUCAGGUAGCAAUAUUUGGAUGUCGGAGUGGCGCAAGGGUGCGUAACACGUGGGCAAUCUGCCGUGAAGUCUGGGAUAACUCGCUGAAAGGCGAGCUAAUACCGGAUGUGAAAAUCGGAUGGCAUCAUCUGGUUUUCAAAGUUGGGGACCGCAAGGCCUGACGCUUCACGAUGAGCCCGCGGCCUAUCAGCUAGUUGGUGAGGUAACGGCUCACCAAGGCUAAGACGGGUAGCUGGUCUGAGAGGACGACCAGUCACACUGGAACUGAGACACGGUCCAGACACCUACGGGUGGCAGCAGUCGAGAAUUUUUCUCAAUGGGCGAAAGCCUGAAGGAGCGACGCCGCGUGGGGGAUGAAUGGCUUCGGCCCGUAAACCCCUGUCAUUUGUGAACAAAUUGUUUCACCUAACAUGUGAAGCAUUGAUAGUAACGGAAGAGGAAGGGACGGCUAACUCUGUGCCAGCAGCCGCGGUAAUACAGAGGUCCCAAGCGUUGUUCGGAUUCACUGGGCGUAAAGGGUGCGUAGGCGGUCGGGUAAGUCUGACGUGAAAUCUCCGGGCCUAACCCGGAAACUGCGUCGGAUACUAUCCGGCUAGAGGAUUGGAAGGAGACUGGAAUACUUGGUGUAGCAGUGAAAUGCGUAGAUAUCAAGUGAACACCAGUGGCGAAGCGAGUCUCUGGACAAUUCCUGACGCUGAGGCACGAAAGCCAGGGGAGCAAACGGGAUUAGAUACCCCGGUAGUCCUGGCCCUAAACGGUGCGCAUUUGCUGUGAGAGGAUCGACCCUUUCGUGCGAGCUACGCGUAAAUGCGCGCUGGGAGUACGCGCA